Molecule: ribosomal RNA, 556 nt
Filed under: Asterionellopsis glacialis
Lineage: Eukaryota; Bacillariophyta; Plagiogrammaphyceae; Rhaphoneidales; Asterionellopsidaceae
Description: partial Bacterial small subunit ribosomal RNA
Rfam family: Bacterial small subunit ribosomal RNA
Source: RNAcentral
CCUACGGGAGGCAGCAGCAGUGGGAAUAUUGCACAAUGGGCGGAAGCCUGAUGCAGCAACGCCGCGUGCGGGAUGACGGCCUUCGGGUUGUAAACCGCUUUCGCCUGUGACGAAGCGUGAGUGACGGUAAUGGGUAAAGAAGCACCGGCUAACUACGUGCCAGCAGCCGCGGUGAUACGUAGGGUGCGAGCGUUGUCCGGAUUUAUUGGGCGUAAAGGGCUCGUAGGUGGUUGAUCGCGUCGGAAGUGUAAUCUUGGGGCUUAACCCUGAGCGUGCUUUCGAUACGGGUUGACUUGAGGAAGGUAGGGGAGAAUGGAAUUCCUGGUGGAGCGGUGGAAUGCGCAGAUAUCAGGAGGAACACCAGUGGCGAAGGCGGUUCUCUGGACCUUUCCUGACGCUGAGGAGCGAAAGCGUGGGGAGCGAACAGGAUUAGAUACCCUGGUAGUCCACGCCGUAAACGAUGUCUACUAGCCGUUGGGGUCCUUGAGACUUUAGUGGCGCAGUUAACGCGAUAAGUAGACCGCCUGGGGAGUACGGCCGCAAGGUUAAAACUCAA